GACGAACGCUGGCGGCGUGCCUAAUACAUGCAAGUCGCGCGAGCGGCGGACGGGUGAGUAACACGUAGGAACCUACAGAUAAGCGGGGGACAACAUCCGGGAACGGGUGCUAAUACCGCAUUCAUUCGAUGGCCUUGAGGUGAAUUAGCUCGUUGGUGGGGUAACGGCCUACAAAGGCAAUGAUGCAUAGCCGACCUGAGAGGUUAAUCGGCCACAGUGGAACUGAGACACGGUCCAGACUCCUACGGGAGGCAGCAGUGGGGAAUAUUGCACAAUGGGCGCAAGCCUGAUGCAGCCAUGCCGCGUGUAUGAAGAAGGCCUUCGGGUUGUAAAGUACUUUCAGCGAGGAGGCGUUACUCGCAGAAGAAGCACCGGCUAACUCCGUGCCAGCAGCCGCGGUAAUUC
This 405-nucleotide ribosomal RNA is filed under the name uncultured bacterium. RNAcentral describes it as "partial 16S ribosomal RNA". It matches the Rfam family "Bacterial small subunit ribosomal RNA", at positions 28 to 526 of the family's 1533-position model. The record is from RNAcentral.